This 497-nucleotide ribosomal RNA is filed under the name uncultured bacterium. RNAcentral's name for it is "partial 16S ribosomal RNA". It matches the Rfam family "Bacterial small subunit ribosomal RNA", at positions 28 to 507 of the family's 1533-position model. The record is from RNAcentral.
GAUGAACGCUGGCGGCGUGCCUAAUACAUGCAAGUCGAGCGAAUGGACGAGAAGCUUGCUUCUCUGAUGUUAGCGGCGGACGGGUGAGUAACACGUGGAUAACCUACCUAUAAGACUGGGAUAACUUCGGGAAACCGGAGCUAAUACCGGAUAAUAUUUUGAACCGCAUGGUUCAAAAGUGAAAGACGGUCUUGCUGUCACUUAUAGAUGGAUCCGCGCUGCAUUAGCUAGUUGGUAAGGUAACGGCUUACCAAGGCAACGAUGCAUAGCCGAACUGAGAGGGUGAUCGGCCACACUAGAACUGGGACACGGUCCAGACUCCUACGGGAGGCAGCAGUAGGGAAUCUGACGCAAUGGGCGAAAGCCUGACGGAGCAACGCCGCGUGAGUGAUGAAGGUCUUCGGAUCGUAAAACUCUGUUAUUAGGGAAGAACAUAUGUGUAAGUAACUGUGCACAUCUUGACGGUACCUAAUCAGAAAGCCACGGCUAACUACGUG